AGGCAGUGAUGAGGGCAAUAUUG
RNAcentral lists this microRNA (23 nucleotides) under Lingula anatina. RNAcentral describes it as "Lan-Mir-92-o80b_5p* (star (passenger))". Lineage: Eukaryota; Metazoa; Brachiopoda; Lingulata; Lingulida; Lingulidae. The record is from RNAcentral.